Molecule: ribosomal RNA, 406 nt
Filed under: uncultured bacterium
Lineage: Bacteria
Description: bacterial SSU rRNA
Rfam family: Bacterial small subunit ribosomal RNA
Source: RNAcentral
UUGGGAAUCUUGCACAAUGGGGGAAACCCUGAUGCAGCGACGCCGCGUGGAGGACGAAGGAUCUAGGUCUGUAAACUCCUUUUGCCAGGAAAGACUUAGGACGGUACCUGGCGAAUAAGCUCCGGCUAACUACGUGCCAGCAGCCGCGGUAAUACGUAGGGAGCAAGCGUUGUCCGGAUUUACUGGGCGUAAAGGGCGCGUAGGCGGUCUGUUAAGUGUGAAGUGAAAUCUCCAGGGCUCAACCCGGAAACUGCUUUGCAAACUGGCAGACUAGAGGAAGGCAGAGGUGAAUGGAAUUCCUGGUGUAGCGGUGACAUGCAUUGAUAUCAGGAGGAACACCCGUGGCGAAGGCGGUUCACUGGGCCUUAUCUGACGCUGAGGCGCGAAAGCGUGGGUAGCAAACAGG